RNAcentral lists this ribosomal RNA (427 nucleotides) under uncultured marine bacterium. RNAcentral's name for it is "bacterial SSU rRNA". It matches the Rfam family "Bacterial small subunit ribosomal RNA", at positions 360 to 804 of the family's 1533-position model. The record is from RNAcentral.
AAUAUUGGACAAUGGGCGCAAGCCUGAUCCAGCCAUGCCGCGUGAGUGAUGAAGGCCCUAGGGUUGUAAAGCUCUUUCGCCAGGGACGAUAAUGACGGUACCUGGAUAAGAAGCCCCGGCUAACUUCGUGCCAGCAGCCGCGGUAAUACGAAGGGGGCUAGCGUUGUUCGGAAUUACUGGGCGUAAAGCGCAUGCAGGCGGAUUGUUAAGUCGGGGGUGAAAGCCCGAGGCUCAACCUCGGAACUGCCUUCGAUACUGGCAAUCUUGAGUCCGGGAGAGGUGAGUGGAACUCCGAGUGUAGAGGUGAAAUUCGUAGAUAUUCGGAAGAACACCAGUGGCGAAGGCGGCUCACUGGCCCGGUACUGACGCUGAGAUGCGAAAGCGUGGGGAGCAAACAGGAUUAGAUACCCUGGUAGUCCACGCCGUA